CUUGCUCCCGGAUGUUAGCGGCGGACGGGUGAGUAACACGUGGGUAACCUGCCUGUAAGACUGGGAUAACUCCGGGAAACCGGAGCUAAUACCGGAUAGUUCCUUGAACCGCAUGGUUCAAGGAUGAAAGACGGUUUCGGCUGUCACUUACAGAUGGACCCGCGGCGCAUUAGCUAGUUGGUGAGGUAACGGCUCACCAAGGCGACGAUGCGUAGCCGACCUGAGAGGGUGAUCGGCCACACUGGGACUGAGACACGGCCCAGACUCCUACGGGAGGCAGCAGUAGGGAAUCUUCCGCAAUGGACGAAAGUCUGACGGAGCAACGCCGCGUGAGUGAUGAAGGUUUUCGGAUCGUAAAGCUCUGUUGUUAGGGAAGAACAAGUGCAAGAGUAACUGCUUGCACCUUGACGGUACCUAACCAGAAAGCCACGGCUAACUACGUGCCAGCAGCCGCGGUAAUACGUAGGUGGCAAGCGUUGUCCGGAAUUAUUGGGCGUAAAGGGCUCGCAGGCGGUUUCUUAAGUCUGAUGUGAAAGCCCCCGGCUCAACCGGGGAGGGUCAUUGGAAACUGGGAAACUUGAGUGCAGAAGAGGAGAGUGGAAUUCCACGUGUAGCGGUGAAAUGCGUAGAGAUGUGGAGGAACACCAGUGGCGAAGGCGACUCUCUGGUCUGUAACUGACGCUGAGGAGCGAAAGCGUGGGGAGCGAACAGGAUUAGAUACCCUGGUAGUCCACGCCGUAAACGAUGAGUGCUAAGUGUUAGGGGGUUUCCGCCCCUUAGUGCUGCAGCUAACGCAUUAAGCACUCCGCCUGGGGAGUACGGUCGCAAGACUGAAACUCAAAGGAAUUGACGGGGGCCCGCACAAGCGGUGGAGCAUGUGGUUUAUUUCGAAGCAACGCGAAGAACCUUACCAGGUCUUGACAUCCUCUGACAACCCUAGAGAUAGGGCUUUCCCUUCGGGGACAGAGUGACAGGUGGUGCAUGGUUGUCGUCAGCUCGUGUCGUGAGAUGUUGGGUUAAGUCCCGCAACGAGCGCAACCCUUGAUCUUAGUUGCCAGCAUUCAGUUGGGCACUCUAAGGUGACUGCCGGUGACAAACCGGAGGAAGGUGGGGAUGACGUCAAAUCAUCAUGCCCCUUAUGACCUGGGCUACACACGUGCUACAAUGGACAGAACAAAGGGCUGCGAGACCGCAAGGUUUAGCCAAUCCCACAAAUCUGUUCUCAGUUCGGAUCGCAGUCUGCAACUCGACUGCGUGAAGCUG
This 1263-nucleotide ribosomal RNA is filed under the name Bacillus pumilus. RNAcentral describes it as "bacterial SSU rRNA". It matches the Rfam family "Bacterial small subunit ribosomal RNA", at positions 79 to 1328 of the family's 1533-position model. Lineage: Bacteria; Bacillati; Bacillota; Bacilli; Caryophanales; Bacillaceae. The record is from RNAcentral.